Molecule: long non-coding RNA, 1527 nt
Organism: Gavialis gangeticus (Gharial)
Lineage: Eukaryota; Metazoa; Chordata; Crocodylia; Gavialidae
Exons: 3
Source: RefSeq, a predicted model, not a curated record
AUCGACAAUCUGUCUUAUAACUGCUGAGCAUCUGCUUACAUACUCUUCAUAACUUUCUGAUGGGACCAGAGAAGCAACUGGGAUGUUACAUCUGAUGAUAAAAUCAUGAGUCACUCAUUUGGCUAAUGUUUCUUUUGUUUUCUUGAGCACUCAGCAUUGUCAAACAAUCUGUUUUCUUAUACACUAUCUCUGACAGACAGAAGGUGCUCAUUGCAGAGAUACACGCAAAGGGUAUCACAACAUAUGCUUUAGGCCAUUUUCUGGUAUGUCAGCUUAUACCGAACUAGCCUCUUUUUUACAAGCCAUGUUGCUGAGUCAGAGGUGCUCAGGGAGUCAAACACUACCUAAUACAAAUAAAGGUAUCAAAAGCUGGCUCUUACCAAAACUUCUCUUACAUAACACCAUUGAAAUGUAAUUUAUGCCUAAGAAAUGCCUGGGAAGUGGUUGGAGAGAACCACUGCAGAAGCAUGGGGUGCAGGUCUACAGACCACAGCAAGUUCUGAAGUAUUUACUUGUUUCUUACUCCCAUCAACAUUGGUGAAAGGAUACAUUUCAGGAUUUGGCUCAUUGGCUCUAGUCUCCCUCUUAAAGUCAAUUGGUUAUCUACUUUAAUCAAACAAUUAUACAUAAAACUUUUUUUUAACGUUAGAAAAAGUCUGUAUAAAAAUCACUGAGAAAAAAAUCCCAGUGUCAGCCUUCCAGUUUCUUUUACUUUCUAGUGUUCUAUGCUCUAAGAGGUAUUGUUAAAAGAUUAGGGAGCAGAGUUGUGCUGCUGGAAAACAGCACAACUCCACUGAAAAGCCGAAUGCCUGCUGCUAAAGAUUUUGAGUCCUGCCUUCACGGCUGGAGUAACUGCAUAACAUCUCAGCAUCAAGUUGAGGUGGGAGCAGAGCUCGUGUUUUGACUCCCUUCCCUGUGCCCUACUCAUUGCACCAAACUGCCUCUCAGUGCAAUCAGAGGUCUCUUUGGCUUGGACUAGAUAUCUUUACUAAGGCAAAGCUAUUAGAGACCUGAACCUGAUAGAAGAUGAUUAUAUUUUCUACCUGCUUGUAUCAAAAUGUAAGUGGGUAGUGAAUUUGUUACACAUUAACUUUGCCACAAGGCUGACUCUGCCAAAAUCUCAACAGCAAAAGGUUUUUCUAGUGAGGUAAUAGACCACAUUGACUUUUCUGUAUAAUUAUCUCACACCUUUAGGAGUCACCUAGACUGAUGUGAAAACUGGAUGACACCUGGAGAGCCAACACACAAGUGAGAAACUUUAGGGAUACUACAUCUCUACAUCUACAGAAAUGAGCUGAGUUUCUGAGUAGGAGUCAAUGGAGUCAGACCUAUGCUGUGGAAAGUGAGAAACUAGCACUUUUGCUGUCACAUGCAUUUGAAUACCUGUUGAUCCAGGAAAAUGAAAGGAUUCCUCCAUCAACUCAUUUAAAGCAAAGGACUUUACUUAGCUGAAGAAAUCCCCUGCAGCCAGUUCGGUGUGAGGUACCGAUCACCCAGCCUUCACUAACAUCAGACUGCUGUGUUCGG